RNAcentral lists this ribosomal RNA (427 nucleotides) under uncultured eukaryote. RNAcentral describes it as "SSU rRNA". It matches the Rfam family "Eukaryotic small subunit ribosomal RNA", at positions 610 to 1044 of the family's 1831-position model. The record is from RNAcentral.
UUGUUGCAGUUAAAAGCUCGUAGUUGGAUUUGUGGUUGGAAAGGUCCGCCGUUGCUAUGCUUCGUGUUGGAUUUUUCCGUCCAUCCUUGGGUGGAUCCUGUGUGGCAUUCAGUUGUCGUGCAGGGGAUGCCCAUCGUUUACUGUGAAAAAAUUAGAGUGUUCAAAGCAGGCUUACGCCUUGAAUAUAUUAGCAUGGAAUAAUAAGAUAGGACCUGGGUACUAUUUUGUUGGUUUGCGCACCGAGGUAAUGAUUAAUAGGGACAGUUGGGGGUAUUCGUAUUCCAUUGUCAGAGGUGAAAUUCUUGGAUUUUUGGAAGACGAACUACUGCGAAAGCAUUUACCAAGGAUGUUUUCAUUAAUCAAGAACGAAAGUUACGGGAUCGAAGAUGAUUAGAUACCAUCGUANUCUUAACCAUAAACUAUGCCG